GCGCAGCAGGCGAGAAACUUCACACUGUGCGAAAGCACGAUGAGGGAAUCCUAAGUGCUUGCACGUAAGUGUAAGCUGUUCUCUGUCUAAACGCAGAGAGAGUAAGGGCUGGGUAAGACGGGUGCCAGCCGCCGCGGUAAUACCUGCAGCUCAAGUGGUGACCGUUAUUAUUGGGCCUAAAACGUCCGUAGCCGGUUUAAUAAAUGCCUGGGUAAAUUGUGUAGCUUAACUAUACGAAUUCCGGGUAGACUGUUAAACUUGAGACCGGGAGAAGUUAGAGGUACUCCUGGGGUAGAGGUGAAAAUUCUGUAAUCCUAGGGGGACCACCAGUGGCGAAGGCGUCUAACUAGAACGGGUCUGACGGUGAGGGACGAAG
Molecule: ribosomal RNA, 376 nt
Filed under: uncultured microorganism
Description: bacterial SSU rRNA
Rfam family: Archaeal small subunit ribosomal RNA
Source: RNAcentral